AGUCAUCGUCCAGGUGGAACUUCGAGUGACCGCGAGAGAUUUUAAAUUUAACUUGAGAAUAAACCGUCGAAAUGGCUCGAAGAUCCGAAGAAGAUCCGCCCGAUGAAAACGGCCGACCGACUGGAACUUCGGUGCGAUGAAAACGCGUGUCGCUUCCUUUCGGCAUUGUUACUUUUCAAACUGGCGCUUAUCGAUACUCCUCAAUCCCCGUCGUCAGUCAGUCUCUCGAGCGCCGCGCUCGUCACGUCACCCCGCGACGUCGUCCUGCACGACCGCGACGCGGUCGCGCGAGAAGUCCAAAACGACGACGCACCCGCGGAACAGAUCCGCGCACAGCACCCCGUCCGCGUGCGG
Molecule: long non-coding RNA, 354 nt
Filed under: Micromonas pusilla
Lineage: Eukaryota; Viridiplantae; Chlorophyta; Mamiellophyceae; Mamiellales; Mamiellaceae
Description: long non-coding RNA (MPUS_LNC000116)
Source: RNAcentral